RNAcentral lists this long non-coding RNA (215 nucleotides) under Elaeis guineensis (African oil palm). RNAcentral's name for it is "long non-coding RNA (EGUI_LNC072142)". Lineage: Eukaryota; Viridiplantae; Streptophyta; Magnoliopsida; Arecales; Arecaceae. The record is from RNAcentral.
AUCUAAUCAAAUCCGGUUCAGGUUCAGCUACUUGUGUCGAUUUUUUCACCUGCCGAACUUUCUCAAGUUCGACCUUAGAGGCAACAGUCCCUUCACCAAGGAACUCCUUUUCUAAAAAGAUUACUUUAAGGCUGACAAACACCUUUUGCUCAUCAGCUAGGUAGAAAUAAUACCCUUUGGUCUCUUUUGGAUACCCUAUGAAAUUACACUUGUCA